UUUCAGACCAUACACGCAAAUCAUUUCAGCCUCCCAAAUCGCCUCCAUCUCUUUUCUCGUUCUCAACUCUGAACUUGCCCUCUCUCUGUCUCUGCGACUGCAAACUACAAGAUCUACAACAAUCAGAUCAACCUCCCAAAUCGCCUCCAUCUCUAUUCUCGUUCUCGACUUUGAACUUGCCCUCUCUCUGUCUCUGCAACUGCAAACUACAAAAUCUACAAGAAUCAGAACCCAUAUCGGCAUAUCAUUUCAAAUUGUUCAAAAUAUCAAAACCCAUAUCCUUCAAUUUCCAUUGCCCGCUGUUCCAGUUAGGGUUCGCCGUUCGCAAGCUUCAGCCUCUGGCCCGCUGCCUCUCAACUCUCAAGCCCUCUCUCUGCAACUGCUAACUUAAAUCCCAACAUUCAGAGCUGCGUUGUUUUUAAUGAUAGCUUUUGCUGUUAUACCAACCAUCUCAUUCAAGAUCCAUUAUCACCAGUUCAUUAGGAGGAGAAGGAUUAGAAUCUUAAUUGUUCUAGUCUACAACAAAUGUACGAAGACUUGGUUCGUGAUAUUUGUCGAUCAUUCCGUGGAUGACUUGUAGUUUUUAAGUUUCCAUUUCAUGCAAAUGUUAGCAUGAGAUGCCUUUUGUAGUUUUAUUUGACAAAAUGUGUAUAUUUGAUUCUAUUUAUGUAAUGUGUACAUAAGUACACCUUUUUCAUUAUAUUCAACAUGUAUAAGAUGAGGCCGAAGGCCAAUAACAUGUACCUUGUAUCCUAUGUAACUUUUAACUUCAUGAAAUAUUAAGAAAAUAUUAAAAAAAUGUCAAGUAUUGGUCUCACAAUGGUUGCAUUGGGUGUGGGAAUUCUAUUUUUAUUCUUUCAUAGGGUCUCAUUAAUCAUGUAUGAAGUGUGGUCAAGGGCUAAACGGUCAUUUGAAAUCAUUUCCUAAUUUUGGUUUUCACUUUUCUCAUUUCAAGUUAAUUUUCGCCUUUUUGGCCGUUGGGGGGUCGGAUUUUGACUCGGCCAUUUUCGGGAGUCGCGGACUAUUCCCGCGCACUCAAAAUCAUUAUUUACGUUUGCGUGAAUGAUCGUUUCCAUGAAAACCCUUUUGUUUGUGUUUUGAGUCUCCUAUGGACUUAUUUUACCUUUUUGUUGAAAAACUCGGCCCAAGGGCAUUUUAGGAAUUUCCUUUGGGAAAUAAAUUCCGUUCUCGACUCCAUCACAUAGAAAAUGUGAUUUUAAGGAGAGUUUCUUCACGACAUUUUUUCGAAAAAUGUCAUCUUGACCUCAAAAACCGCGCUCUAAACUCAAUUUUUGCAUUUUUAUUGUUUCUGUUGUUUUUUUUGCAACUUGGGUGGGUUGAAUCGGUUCAGUGUGGGCUGAACAGGUUCAAGGUGUCAUUUUGGUUCAGCUUGGGCGUACUGCCAAUGUUGAACCGGUUCAAGAAUGUUGAACCGGUUCAAGUCUUCCAGAGUUUUCAGUUUUGGACUUCCAACUUUAAUCUGACGUAACUUCUUCGUUUCAACUCGGAAUUGGUCUGUUCUUGAGUCUAAAUUGAUCGUGUCAAAGUAAGCUUUCCAAUGGUACCAAUUUCAGCUUCAGAUUAUUUUCCUAACUCAAGAUAUCAUUGUUUUAGUGAGAGGGUGUCGGAUUUGGUUCGAACCGGGAUGGGGUUCAUCCGGGAUUGCACUUCCUUUGGCCUUGGGUCUUCAUGUGAAGUUAUCAAAGGACGUUUUUAGAUGUUUUUGAUCAAAUUUGACUUGUUGAUAGUUAAAUUCCUUCCUCCUUGCGUAAAAUGACCAUUUUGCCCUUGGUCCUCUUUUCGGUGGAUGCCCUUGUCUUCGUUUUGUUUCCAUUGAGUCUCGAAACUCUUUCAAAGUCUAUUCUUGUGUCCUAGGGAUAAUGUACAUCUCUAUGGACUUAUUUUCAAGUUGCUUCCGCACCUUAUUCAUUUGGGUCCGUGACCUCAUGGAAGGUCAUCAAAGGGUCUUAGAGGUGUGUUAUGCCUUGGGAGACCAUUGUCUUGUUUCUUGCUUCCGCAUCUUGGAUCCAGUUCGGGUCAUCACUGUACACACUAGGUUGGAAAAUCCAGGGUCGUUACAUCAGCUCAUAGAAUUGAACAGCUUUGAUUUACUUCUCUGUUUUAUGUUUUCUUUUGAACAUUGGUUUGACUCAUACAUGAAUUUAUAAAGAAACUAACAGAAUAUGGCUAGUCUUAGAACUCUCAAGAUGAAUAUUUCAGCAGCUUGUGUAAAUGCAAUCUUUCAUAGUGCAUUACUUAUUAUCUUGUGGUUAAUGAAGCAUAGCCUGAUAAACCUGUCAGAAAUGAAUUAUAAGACGACAAUAAAUUUAAGAGAUGAAUUCCACUAUCUCAAUCAAGAAAUACUACACACUGAAGAACCGAUCCCUCAGUUGAAGAAGUGCUAUGAUAUUGGAAUCUAUAUGAUGGGUCAUGUGAAAAGCCAGUGAUUUAGGUCAUUUUCUUGUUUGUGGGUGAUAAUAAUUUCUAUUUGAUUCAUAAAUGACAAUCUUGUUCUUUCCAUUUUGUUAGUAGCAUACUGAAUUUGAGACUUGUGUGAUGCAUCUACAUAAUUGCUUGGAUUUUGUACCAUGAAAAAUAAGGUGGUGUUUUUGACAAGUGCAGACUGAAACUCAAGUGCUAGGUUUAGAAAUUGGUCAAUAGAAGUACUAGGAAAUUGAUAUGAUGAAACUUUGCAAAAAUCAGAUUAUGAGCACUUCACCUUCACCUACUUGAAUCAAAAUUCUAUCAAGAAAGGGAACAGUGGUGGACAAUAAAACAUGACUUAAUUUUUAUUUUUGGUUGUUAAACAUGUUAUCUGUCUGGAAAUGUAUCACUCAAGCAUAAGUCAUGGAGCAAUGUACAUAAAUUGAGGUUCAGGGAGAGAUGUGGUUGUGGUAUUACAGAUUCAAUAAAAAUUACAAUAAGAAAGAUAGGUUAUACCAUGUCUAUCCAAAUCAAACUUGUGAGAAUUGUACACUUUACUUUAUGGUGAUAUUGUUGCUUGAGCAAAUCAUUAAGUUGUAUGAUUUUUUAAAAAAUGUUUUCUGUUGUAGUUGAGAAGUUGCAUACCUGCACUUUACUUUGUGGUUCUAUUUGAAUAUAUGAGUUGCACAUUUGUUAUUUUUUAAGACCUUUUUUAUG
This is a long non-coding RNA of Cornus florida, 3141 nucleotides long. RefSeq lists it as uncharacterized. Lineage: Eukaryota; Viridiplantae; Streptophyta; Magnoliopsida; Cornales; Cornaceae. The record is from RefSeq and is a predicted model, not a curated record. The transcript is spliced from 4 exons.